This 954-nucleotide long non-coding RNA is filed under the name Marmota monax (woodchuck). The record is from RNAcentral. Lineage: Eukaryota; Metazoa; Chordata; Mammalia; Rodentia; Sciuridae.
UUCUAGUCCCCAAAGUACUAUCUGAAAAAAAAAGAAAUAGAUAAGUGGAUACUUAGAAUAUUUCUUCAUUAUAAAAUAAUUAAACUAAACUAUAGCAGUAAUAAAUGUAAAAUAAUUGUAAUGCUGUUUUGGUACCAGAUUCCUUAGUAAAAUGAUAAUCAAAUGAAGAAAAUACUGGAAGAAUAUGUAGAGAAAUUUGCUCCCUUCAUUCCUCUAAAAAAGGAUAGUUAUAUACACAUGACCUUAUUUGCAAAUGGAAGGCUAAAAAUGAUCCAACAAGAUUUGCCUGGGGUAUUCUCUAGGGAACUAGCCAAGAUAUUGGCAGCAAAAAGGGAGGAUCAGAAAAGUUCCUCAGUCAGGGCAUGUAGAAUAAUGAAUAUUCUUCUCUUGCUGUUCUGUUAUUGCUAAAAAUAAUAAGAGAACAAGCUCUCUUCAUGAAAGAGUGUACCUGUCUCCUUAUACAUUAGUAUAUAGCCUAUGUGGUAACAAGUCAGUCAGAGCAGGUAAAUAGUCUCUGGUGGUUGGAAACAUAAUCUAUAUGACCUUCCAGGUGAAAACAAAACUGGCAAUUUUCCACCAAAUAUUUAAAAUAGAUAAUAAUAAAUAAAAGAUUAUAGAACUUUAAAGUGAAUAAAAUCUGUAAAUUACAUGGCACUGAAUAAUGUAAUAUUACACAUGUGUGAAAAAAAUCUAUGAAUAUCAUUGUGCUAUUAAAAGAAACUGGUCCUCAAAUAAUAUUGAUAAAUGAAUGGAAAUGUAAAAAUUAUGUGUGUGUACAUACACACACAUAUAUAUGUAUUUAUAAACACAUACGCGUGAACACAUAUACAUACAUUGUGGUGUUUAGAGGUUUUUCUUUGCAGAGCAUUCAUUAUCCAUUUUGAAAUCAAUGUAUGUGUUAAGUAUAACAUAUGAAAGCCUGAAUUCAAAUUUCUUUUUGUACUCUGAUUACUU